This 73-nucleotide transfer RNA is filed under the name Sporomusa malonica. It matches the Rfam family "tRNA". From Rfam's summary of the family: Transfer RNA (tRNA) molecules are approximately 80 nucleotides in length. Their secondary structure includes four short double-helical elements and three loops (D, anti-codon, and T loops). Further hydrogen bonds mediate the characteristic L-shaped molecular structure. tRNAs have two regions of fundamental functional importance: the anti-codon, which is responsible for specific mRNA codon recognition, and the 3' end, to which the tRNAs corresponding amino acid is attached (by aminoacyl-tRNA synthetases). tRNAs cope with the degeneracy of the genetic code in two manners: having more than one tRNA (with a specific anti-codon) for a particular amino acid; and 'wobble' base-pairing, i.e. permitting non-standard base-pairing at the 3rd anti-codon position. The record is from Rfam by way of RNAcentral. RNAcentral also lists the same sequence under 3 other names. Lineage: Bacteria; Bacillati; Bacillota; Negativicutes; Selenomonadales; Sporomusaceae.
GGGGAUAUAGCUCAGCUGGGAGAGCGCUUGAAUGGCAUUCAAGAGGUCAGCGGUUCGAUCCCGCUUAUCUCCA